Long non-coding RNA from Macaca fascicularis (crab-eating macaque), 3463 nucleotides. The record is from Ensembl. Lineage: Eukaryota; Metazoa; Chordata; Mammalia; Primates; Cercopithecidae.
AUUUUUUUCUUCCCUAAUUUUUCCCAGAACUCAAAUGUCCUCCCACUCUAUUAUUAUGCAGAGCUCAGUACCUUUUGCUUCUACCCCAAACUCUGCUACUGACCAACUUUUGUACUUACCAAAAUGGCCUCAUAAAUAAAUAGCCAUUUGCUUUGGAACACUAUACUUGAACAGCACAAAGUACCUGUAGAGACUUUACAACUUGUCCUUGCUUUAGCAAGAUUAAAUGAUCAGGCAGUGGUUCUUAGAGUCCCCCAACCAACAGCAUUGGCAUCCCCUAGGAACUUGGUAGAAUUUCAAGGUCUCAGGUCCCACCAUAGACCUACCGAUUGCGAAGCCCAUCCACAAGCCCUCCAGGUGAUUCUGAUGCAUGCUAAAGCUUGAGAAUCCCUGACUUAGGCAAACUUUGAGUUUAUGUAUUUGUAAUAGGCACAUAUAUAGAGAUCCUACUUCAUUUUUAAUUGUUGUAUGAAUUUAAUGAUUCCAUGCUCAUGGACAUUUAGGUUGCUUCCAAUUUUUGUUUUUGUUAGUUUGUCUGUUUGUUUUGAGAUGGAGUCUCGCUCUGUCACCCAGGUGGGAGUGCAGUGGUGUGUUCUUGGCUCACUGCAACCUCUGCCUCCCAGGUUCAAGUGAUUCUCCCACCUCAGCCUCCCAAGUAGCUGCAUCUACAGGCUCCUGCCACCACACCCAGCUAAUUUUAACGAGGCUGGUCUCAAACUCCUGAUUUCAAGUGAUCUGCCCACCUCGGCCUCCCAAAGUGUUGAGAUUACAGCCAACUUCCAAUUUUAAUACCUGAACAAACACUAGAAGUGUGCGUGGAAAAAUAAAAACAAUUAUGAAAAGAUCUAGCUAUUUUUUGAUAAAUUUUUUUCUUAAAAAAUUCCUCCAAUGUUAGAAUAUUGUUUUAACAAUAAAUACAAAUUGGAAGAGAGAACAAUGUUAGGUGAACUAAAGAAGGGAAGGAGGAUAGAUUCUCCAUAAAGGGUAAAGGGAGCCCACUGCAGUAAGCUGGAAUGGCCAUGAUGCCAGAGACCAUGUCCAAUGUGCUUACUUCUAUAUGCCCAGUGUCUUCAAUGGUGUCUGACACAGAAUAGGCACUUAGAAAAUAUUAAAUGAAUAAACGGAUUAAUCAAAUGCUGGUGAGGCUUCAGCUCCUAUGUCUGGAUUUGCCACAGUUCAUGCUCUAGGACUUGAGCUUUUUAACUACCCAGGGCUAUAACUGUGGCUCUACUUUGUGCCCAGGUCUCAACUGGGAAGACACUCAUGAUAGUAGUGCAGUAAGGAGCUGGGUAUGCAUUUCAGCACAAACCUUUGUUCGUUUCUUUCUUCCAAAAGACCCUACCUAUGACCUUUCAGUAGGCAGGGUCAAUAAUCUGGUUCUACAACAAUUCAAUAAUGGAAGACACUAAGGAAUUAGUUAAUUUUUAUUUAGUUUGAAUAAUGGCAUAGUAAUUGUAUGUCUGUUUUAAAAGAGUCUAGGAUUUGCUUCAAAAUCAUCUGGAUAGGGGAGUUGAAGAAUUGGGGUAUAGAUCAAAUAAGAUAGGCCAUCAGUUGAUCAUUGCUGAGGCUGGGAAAGUGAAAACAUUUUCCAGUACAUGGGGGCUCAUAAUGAAUACAAAUUGAAUACAUACAUGUAUUUAUUUAUAAGGAAUAGAAUAAUGAUUGUAUUAUUCUUAAAAAAAAAAAACCUUCAAGUCAGCAGCAGGUGCUCUCCCAAUGAGCACAGCAUGGCUGUCACACCUGUCACCAACUCCUGGGUACAUGUCUCUUGUUCCUUUUGGUUACAGUAGAAGAACACUCUGGAUCCCAAUCUUUCUUACAUUUUGAUGCACUUAGUGACAUCAGUUAUCUCUUUCUAUCCUGUAUCAAUGUCUACCUCCCGUCUGGAGAUUUACACUCAGACUUUAAAUAUAACUCAAUUAUCUUCCAUAAUAAAAAUCACAUAAACAUCCCAUCCCCUCAGUUCAGACACUUCCUCUGGCGAUUGCUUGAUUUUUCUUUUAUCCAGAACAGCCAAACGUAUCCAAAGAGUUACCUAUUUUUCUCUUACAUUUCUUUGCUUCCGCCUCAAUCUACUGGAGUCUGGCUCUGUCCUCACCAUUCAACCUUAAUGGUUGCUGUCAUAAAAUUUCAUGUGCAUAUUUCAGGUGUAAAAUAGCAGCUCUAGCCCAAAUACUUCUCCUUAAAGAGACUCUAGUAUUCAAAACUUACUGACCUCUAUAUUUGGAUAUUGUAUGGUUCUAUUCAAACUCAGCACUGUAUGUCCAAACAGAGCUCAUCGUCUUCCUCCCAACCUGUGGUCCUUUCAGUGAAUAACCAGUUGCCCAAAUAACAAAAACCCUGGCAACAUUUUGCUUUGUUUUGUUCUAAACAGCUUUACUGAGGUAUAAGUUAUAGACCACAAUAAACCGCACAUGUUUACUGAUUUGCUUUUCUGUCAGUAUAGAUUAAUUUGCAGUUUUCAGAAUUUCAUAUAAAUGGAGUCAUGCAGCAUGUACUUUUUUGUCUGAUUUCUUUCACUAAGCAUAAUUAUUUUGAGAUUCAUCCAUGUUGAUGUAUUAACCAUUCAUUCCUUUUUGUUAGCGUGUAGCAUACCAUUAUAUGGAUAUAUCAUAAUUUGUUUAUUCACUUGCUUGUUGAUGGCCAUUUGGGUCAUUUCUAGCUUUUGGCUAUUGCAAAUAAAACUAUUAUUUCAUGUACAAGCCUUGGUGUGUACAUAUGAUUUCAUUUCUCUUGGUUAAAUUUGCAGGAGCAGAAUGUCUAGGUCACAUUGAUUUUGUGUUAACGUUUAAAGAAACUUCUGGUUGUUACUCUUGACUUUUUGUGGCAGUCCUAGUUGGCUGCCUUUCCAGCAACCAUCUCAUAUUCCAUCCUCUACUUUUCACUGUCUCUUACACUGCAGAAGUGGAAAAGGUGACAUUUGCUUUCCCAGAACCCUUUGCAUCUGUGGCCAGGGCGUGUGGCUGCACCUGGCUGCGGAUACUUGAAGAAAACUCCGCUGGGAGUGAGGGGUGGAGAGGGAGGUUCUAAGAAGCCACGAGGGGAUGUAGCAGAAGGACUCCCUGGCACUCCUCUAAUAGCGUCCUUCCCUGUAAAGGGUGGUGUCUUGGAACCAAGGGGACAUUCCCAUGCGGAGCUUGUGGCCCCCAUCCAUACCACUCUCCGCGUACCCAGGACGCAGAACUCCUUAGGCUCAUCGCCCCGACCCCUGCCAGGGACCCAGAGGGCCUCUUCCAGUCCUUUCCCCGACCGAUGGCAGGCUCUGCCGCUAGCGUGCUUAUCCCUAGAUACCGAGGGAGGCCAAUUGCAGGAGGAGAUGCGCUAGGGUGGUCACACGCAUGCGUGUAAGGUGCCUAAUGGCGCAGGUUGCUGCACCGUGUGGAGAAAGUUUUGGGAGAGUUCUGCUUAUACUCUUAGGAGCAGAAAGUCUGCUUGUGACACCAGAAAGUGAAACAGAUAUUCC